AAUCAUGGUUUUGAAUACACCCUUAGCCAAAACAAAAUUAGCCAAUCAUACUUAAAGAAAAACAAAGAUUACAUGAAUUAGACAUUAAAAUCCAAAGAAAGAAAACACCUAGAAUGCUCUAACUUGGCAGCAAGUGCAUCCAAGAUUUCUCCUUUCCCUUGCUUGCGGCAGAUUGGUUUGUGGACAGGUUUUGGGUAGUUUUAUGGUGUAGAAUGGAUGGGGAAUGGUAUGGAAAGGUUUAGGGUGAGUGUGGAGGAGUGUUUGAUGGUUGGAGGGUGGUGGAGAACUCGGCAAAGAGGGUGGAAGAAGGUGGAGUGGCUGUUAUGUUUUCUGGGCACUAAAAUGGUGUUUUUGGGGUGUUUUGCUGCCUAGGGUGUGUAUGGACGAAUUUUCUGUGAUGAAUGAUGAAUAUGGAAGGUCAUCCCUUGGCCAAGGGGUGUAAACAAGUAUAUAUAGGCCCCAAAGACCCUAGAGAAUCAGGUUAGGCAAUGAAGGAAAUGCACAGCAAUGAGGGUGAAUUUGUGGUGUGCAAUGGUCCAAGGAUGAAAAUGAAGCAAUGAUUCAAAGUAUGGAGGGUAAAAUGGAGUGGUGUUGCAGCUAGGGAGCAUGAAUGAUUGUGCACAUUGAAUAGAAAUGAAAAGGGAGGUGAAAUGUUUCAGAAAUGAGUCAAAGGUGCAGCCACAUGUGUUGCACACGGCAUGGGAUUCCAAAGGUGGCUGAUGGAGCAUCAAUUGGUGCAUGUAAUGGUUGUGAAAGUUGUAUGAAAUCUGAUGGGUGAAGGGAACAAGAAGUAUGCAGCAAUUGAGUGUAAUAAUUAAAUGUAUUGAGGCAUGAAAUCAGAAAUAAUGUAAGGGACAAGGGUGAUUAAGCAUGGCAUGGGAAUCCAAAGGGAAUACAAUGGUGUUUGCACGGCAAGGAGGGUGAAUUUUGGAGUGACACCCUAUUGUGGCUGAGUUCUUUAUCCUUUGUACAAUAAUUCUUCACAUUCUUAGCCUCUUUAGUCUUCAAUUUCGUCCAUCCACCUUGCUCCAUGCAUUUGCUAUCCAUCCAAACCCGAAACUGCUCCAAAGGCCUCCAAAAUGCAUCUUCUUGCAUACUUUGUCCUUAGAAUCUGAAAACACACAAAAAUGACUUUAAACACUAAAAUAACCAAGAAAACACAACGUAAAUGCUCAAGAACAAGCUAACUAAGUCGCAUAAAUAUGCUCCUAUCAAAUUCCCCCACACUUAGCUUUUGUUAGUCCUCGAGCAAAACAAAAUAACUAAACAAAACAAAACCAACAAAACGAACAAAACCCAACCUAAACCUUCCAACGUUUGCCUCAGGGAUUUCCAAUGCACAUGACAUGUUAAAAAUUGUCAUCCCCACAGAUUUUAGUUGUCUUCACACUUAAGCACAUACUUAAUCAUAGUCACCACUUACUAGUUCACAUUUAAGCAAUUAAAACAAUGUUUUGAAUGUAGUAACAUGCCUUAGAGAAUUUGCUCAAGUCCUUACAAGAUAUUCACUCAAUUUUCACUCAGAUUUUCUAACUACACACCCUAUACUAGUUAUAUGUGAGAAGAUUGAUGUAAACAUGAAAACGAACGCUCACAUAUAUGUAUUACAAAGAAAGUGAUUUCUGGAGCAUGUUUAGAUAUGAUCUCAUGAAUGGAAUGCUACUACUUAGAUGCGAGAACCAGUGACACCAUAUGCUCAUACCAAAUUCAAACUCCACAAAUUGAAACACAUAACACUCAAGAUUGAAGUCAAAGGUUGUAACGGGGCUUGGGGUGUUGGCUAACAAAUGAAAGCAAGGGAAAACAAAUGUUCUUAAAGCACUAGCAAAUAAAGUAAUGAACUUCAACU
Molecule: long non-coding RNA, 1849 nt
Filed under: Malus domestica (apple)
Lineage: Eukaryota; Viridiplantae; Streptophyta; Magnoliopsida; Rosales; Rosaceae
Description: long non-coding RNA (MDOM_LNC000283)
Source: RNAcentral